AAGCCAAGCUGCUUCCUCACCAUGGCCUGGACUCCCCUCUUCUUCCUUCUGCUCACGUAUUUUACAGGGUCACUCUCCCAGUUCACCCUGACUCAGCCACCCUCAGAGUCCGUGUCCCUGGGAAACACAGUUAAACUCUCCUGCACCAUCAGCAGUGGAAAAACAUUGGGAGGUGUUGCCUGGUACCAGCAAAAAAAUGGGAACAGCCCAAGAUACUUGUUGAUGUUCAAUACGGACUCUGACAAGCACCAGGGCUCCGGGGUCCCCAGUCGCUUCUCUGGUUCCAAAGACACCUCGAAUAAAAUUGGCUACUUAACCAUCACCAACGCCCAGGCAGAGGAUGAGGCUGAUUAUUAUUGCACUGCCUGGACUAGUGAGCUGCACAGUGACACAGUUAGUUGCAGACCUGAAUAA
This is a non-coding RNA of Alligator sinensis (Chinese alligator), 414 nucleotides long. The record is from the annotation of a RefSeq genome assembly. Lineage: Eukaryota; Metazoa; Chordata; Crocodylia; Alligatoridae.